GAUGAACGCUGGCGGCGUGCCUAAUACAUGCAAGUCGAGCGAACAGACGAGGAGCUUGCUCCUCUGACGUUAGCGGCGGACGGGUGAGUAACACGUGGAUAACCUACCUAUAAGACUGGGAUAACUUCGGGAAACCGGAGCUAAUACCGGAUAAUAUAUGGAACCGCAUGGUUCAAUAGUGAAAGACGGUUUUGCUGUCACUUAUAGAUGGAUCCGCGCCGCAUUAGCGAGUUGGUAAGGUAACGGCUUACCAAGGCAGUGAUGCGUAGCCGACCUGAGAGGGUGAUCGGCCACACUGGAACUGAGAGACGGUCCAGACUCCUACGGGAGGCAGCAGUAGGGAAUCUUCCGCAAUGGGCGAAAGCCUGACGGAGCAACGCCGCGUGAGUGAUGAAGGUCUGCGGAUCGUAAAACUCUGUUAUUAGGGAAGAACAAAUGUGUAAGUAACUAUGCACGUCUUGACGGUACCUAAUCAGAAAGCCACGGCUAACUACGUG
RNAcentral lists this ribosomal RNA (497 nucleotides) under uncultured bacterium. RNAcentral's name for it is "partial 16S ribosomal RNA". It matches the Rfam family "Bacterial small subunit ribosomal RNA", at positions 28 to 507 of the family's 1533-position model. The record is from RNAcentral.